ACAGGUCCAGCUUAAACACUAUCCAUCUUGGUGAAGCAGAAAGGCCCAGAAAAUCUUAGGGACAUGAAAAGUGGGGAGAAAAAAAUAAUGCCCUCUUUCUAGAAUCCAUUUGAAGCCUUUGCCAGCAGCAAAGCAAACACCUUAGCACAAUUAAUGACUGCUUAUGGCCUUUGUCCCUCCCCAGUCGUGAGCAAGCACUUUUCUGUAGGUAGAUCCUAUCCUAUUGUAAUCCCAGCCAAGCCUUCUGAGGAGUCACCUUAUGUGUCUAUCUCUUUUUAUCAAAUGGAAGAAUGUGAAAAGGAGAUUCUUUGAAGCCUUUGAAGUGUAACCCAAGAGUCAAAAGGGUACAGAUGGCUGACUCUAGACAAGCAACUGCUUCCUCCUCCAUUCAAGUGGUACUCGAAUGAAAACGAGGACAUGGCCAUUCCCAGUCCAUAUUGUAGAUAUGAGGGAGAGAACACGAAGGCAUCAGGAAGGGUCCAUCCAGUCUGAACGGUACCAGGAGACCAAACUGGGCCAUGAAAGGGGAAACAGGAGGAGAGUGGGAGAGGAAGGGAAGACAGAAGGAAGAGGAGAGAUGCUAAGAACGAGCCAGCCAGGAGCCAAGAGAGAAGAACCAGGGGGGUGUGGCCAAAAUGACUGAGUUAUGUAGGAAUCAGAGAAGCUGCGAGAAGGGAAGGGAAGCUCAGUGGUUGAGAGGGUUAGGAAAGGGGGUCAGGGUGAGAGGUGCCAGGACUUUUGUAAUAGGUAGUCACUUUGAGCUUGGGGCUUUGGUGUGUUAAUAGAAACCUCAGUUAGCCAUCGGUCCCAGUUUCUUUGACACAGUUGGGCAUGUCUUGGUUUCCCCUACUCUCCCUUGAGAAACUUAUACUCUCCACUUGGGUAUGUAUCAUUUUUUAUGAGUGCCUUUCUUCCUCUUAACCCUCAUGCUUAAAUCUAUAUUAAAAUAUCUUUAUGCAUAUGCAUGUAACAACAAUUAGGGGGGAAAUGGUCACAAAUUGGAAAGACAGCAAGGAGGGUACAUUGGAGGUUUUGAGGGAGGAAAGGGAAGGGGGAAAUCGUAUAAUCCUAUUAUAAUCUCAAAAUAUAGUAAUAAAAAUACAUCUCCAAUAAAACCAUCUACUUUUCUUGACUAUGCUAGCUGGUUCUGAAUUCCUCCACAGCUUGGACGCCAUGAUUGUGGUUUGACCUGAGUUGAGGUCCCUAGAAGCUUGGUGUAACUCCUCACUGUAUCCAGGGUAGCAGCUGUGACUCCGCCCCCUACUCAGUAGAACUUACCAGUCUGUCUCAUUUUGUGAAUCUGUUCCCCUAAUGCAUCCCCUGUCUGUCUGUGUACUUACCUACUUUCUCAUCCCCCACCUACUUAUCCAUCGCUUCUUGGUUUGGUCUCUGUGGAGAACCCUGAUGAAGAAACCGUCCCCCAAGUGGUGGUGUAGAAGAACGUGGACCCGGGUAAGACUAACUCUGAGCCACCUGCACUGGCCACCUUCCUACUCAAGCCAGUAUCCAUCCCAGUAUUGUCACAACUCUGUGACACGAAAGAACCUUUACACAAGGUGAAAUGUCUCUACUAUCAAGGCUGGCUAUGCUUCACCCAGACAGCCAACCCUACAGCUUCUGCUGGGGCUUCAGAGUUCAGCCUACUCAUACAGAUUUCAGAAACAGAUUGAGGGCGGAUGGUCCUACUGGGACACGCAACCCGACCUUUCUAUGUAGGGAUUGCCUGGAGUGGCAUGGGGUGGAGGGUGAGCCAGGGAUCCUGACUGAUUUGACAAAUGAAUUAAUUACCAAGGGAUGGUGUGAAUCAUUAGAGCUCCGGGGGCUUGCCAACACAGAUAAACAAAUUGGAUUUCAGUGUGCUGUCCCGAAUCACUGGCUUCCUGCAGGCACUUACACACAAUGCCAACCUGAGCAUGAAGGAGUCUGCCUGUUUGCCAAGGUCAAAACAGACCCCUGUUCCUAGCAGGCAAGUUCCCCUCACCUGGUGACAUACCGGUUAUUGUGUACAUUGUGAAGGACUAGAUCCAUGCUCACAAAAGGUUCGUUAGCAGCUUCCUGUUGUUAUCCACGGCUUCUUCAUUCGUUAUGUAAAUAUCUUACAGACAGAAUCCAGCAGAUUUAUUUGGAAUACUCUCCUCUGAACAUCUCUGGUUAACUAGAUUUCUGUUGAACUGGAGUUAAGCAAAACCCGUGUAGUUGCAUCCUUCGUUAUUGAAAAUCCUCAAAACUGUGUUAGUUCACGUACCUGCCUGAGAUCUUGGAGUAGAAUGAAAAUAAUUGCAUUUUUGCUUCAUGAUCAGGUAUCUUGCAGUACCCCGAGGGCACAAUCCUGCCUAUCUGUGAGGAUUAAAAUUUAACUGCAGUUACAGAGUUCUGUGAGACAUCCGUCCUCUCCUGCUCUGAGAUGAAGAAGAAACCUGUGGGCCAUUGUGGAAACUGCAGACCCUGGCCUUCUUAAGCUACAGCCAGCAGAGGGUCAGGAGCUGAGUGGUUUGUUUCAUGGUCGUCCAGCUGGCCAUAUGGGUCCACCUGGGAAUGCAAGAUGCAAGAUGACCCUGACUGCUAAGGUUCUGUGUCCUGGGGAUCAAGUCAGACUGGCCACUCUCAAAGAGUGAAGAGAAGAAGAGAGAAGUUCUGGACCUGGCUCCCCAGGCUAUCAGAGCUGGGCUUUCCUGCUUGAGUGGGUCUUCCCAGCAAUGGAAUCUUGACACAUCCUUGCAAGGAGGGUUCCUGCUGGCCCGGAGACUGUGGCUGCUCUCUCCUGACUUUCAUUGUCCCCCCAGUGUGAAUGACAUUUGGGAGUCUGGAAGCAGAGAAGUCUGGAACAAAGUAAACAGCUAACCAAGCAGAGUUUGUGGGAGAUUUACACAGAAACUGAUCCCCAGGCACAGCCUUGGGAUUUAUAACAAGGCUGGGUAAUUUGUUCUUGCUUGCUAAGAUAAGGGUAAACAAAUUCCAUGCUGAGAUGUAAGCCCCUAUCUGCAGAAGUCAGGAAGGAAUCUGUGCCCUGUUGCUCAAUUACCGGCUUGACAAAUUACCCUCAGAAGCUGUGUCUUGCAGACUUUAUCAAGGGGUCACACUGAGCCUCAAGUGUUAAAGGUAGAGAUGGCUUGCCUUGACGCAGAGGCACUUCUGUGUCUGUGGCAGACAGCUCAGAAAUGGAAGUGACUGCAAUAUUUGGAAGAGCAUUGAAAGGCAAUGGGCUAGUCUUGACCAACUCUGUGGUACCCAGGGGAGAUGAAGAUGUAUGUCAGAAGGCCAUACGUGGCCUCAGGCCCUGAACCACAUCCAUAGGGGCCCUGGCUCUGGUAAUUAAACGUUCUGUUUCCUGUG
This is a long non-coding RNA of Mesocricetus auratus (golden hamster), 3333 nucleotides long. RefSeq lists it as uncharacterized. The record is from RefSeq and is a predicted model, not a curated record. The transcript is spliced from 2 exons. Lineage: Eukaryota; Metazoa; Chordata; Mammalia; Rodentia; Cricetidae.